This is a long non-coding RNA of Oncorhynchus tshawytscha (Chinook salmon), 969 nucleotides long. The record is from Ensembl. Lineage: Eukaryota; Metazoa; Chordata; Actinopteri; Salmoniformes; Salmonidae.
CAGUAGCAUAGUGUGGGUCUCUCUCCCUCUCCCUCUCUCCCAGCCAGUAGCAUAGUGUGGGUCUCUCUCCCUCUGCCUCUCUCUCCCAGCCAGUAGCAUAGUGAGGGUCUCUCUCCCUCUGCCUCUCUCUCCCAGCCAGUAGCAUAGUGAGGGUCUCUCUCCCUCUGCCUCUCUCUCCCAGCCAGUAGCAUAGUGAGUGUCUCUCUCCCCAGCCAGUAGCAUAGUGAGGGUCUCUCUCCCUCUCUCCCCAGCCAGUAGCAUAGCAUGGGUCUCUCUCCCAGCCAGUAGCAUAGUGAGGGUCUCUCUCCCAGCCAGUAGCAUAGUGUGAGGGUCUCUCUCUCCUCCCUCUCUCCCCAGCCAGUAGCAUAGCAUGGGUCUCUCUCCCAGCCAGUAGCAUAGUGUGGGUCUCUCUCCCAGCCAGUAGCAUAGUGUGGGUCUCUCUCCCCAGCCAGUAGCAUAGUGUGGGUCUCUCACCCAGCCAGUAGCAUAGUGAGGGUCUCUCUCCCUCUCUCCCCAGCCAGUAGCAUAGCGUGGGUCUCUCUCCCUCGUUUAACGAGGCUAAAAACACACCAACCACUUAGAGGACCAACCAGCUGAUAUGGAACUGUCUACCCUUCUCUAUAUACACAGCCAGCCAGCCAGCCUGCCUGCCUCCCCAUUCCCAUUCCCUCUCCCUCUCUGUCCUCAUUUCCCCAUUCCCUCUCCCUCUCUGUCCUCAUUUCCCCAUUCCCUCUCUCUCUCUGUCCUCAUUUCCCCAUUCCUUCUCCCUCUGGGUCCUAAUUUCCCCAUUCCCUCUCUGUCCUCAUUUCACCAUUCCUUCUCCCUCUCUGUCCUCAUUUCCCCAUUCCUUCUCCCUCUUUGUCCUCAUUUCCCCAUUCCUUCUCCCUCUCUGUCCUCAUUUCACCAUUCCUUCUCCCUCAUUUCAUCAUUCCUUCUCCCUCUCUGUCCUCAUUUCCCCAUUCCUUCUCC